Molecule: long non-coding RNA, 200 nt
Filed under: Elaeis guineensis (African oil palm)
Lineage: Eukaryota; Viridiplantae; Streptophyta; Magnoliopsida; Arecales; Arecaceae
Description: long non-coding RNA (EGUI_LNC029177)
Source: RNAcentral
UCCCACCAUAAUUAUCUCUAACAUUUCCAUUGAAGUUGACCUUCAGAUACAACAGAGGAGGCCUCAAAAAAUGAACAUCCGAUAGAUCACUACGUGAGCAGAGUGGGAGCUCCAAGUCUCUAAAAGUCUGGACGUCACAUUGAUGAUCUCCACUGCCAUGUCUAAGGCUAUCUCGAAAACAAAUCGCACCGAAAAUCAUC